UUUGGCAGGUCGGGAAUUGCUUCUUGUCCCGCAGAGCAAUGAAAAGCAGGCCAAUAAUGCCACCCACAGGUGCCCGGCUUUAUUGCUGCCAUGGGUUUCCAGAUGGGCUCUGAGAUCCUGCAGAGCCAGACUGCAGUCUCAUGGAGAGGUUUGGGGUCAGAUCACCCUGCAGGGGAGGAGGCAAUGUUUUCUCACACCUGAUCUCUCAAAAGCAAUGAAGGGUUUCCUACCAGUACUGACUGAGGAUGAAGACAUUGGUGUACUUAGAGAAAACCUCAGAGGAGUCAAAAACAAAGAUUUCCUGCCCUCUGGACACAGUCUGCACCCAAGCCAGCAUGGCUUGGGAGUUCAAUACUCUUUCCUGGGAGAAGAGAGGGGCAACACAAAACAGAACAGGUAAUUUUGAAACAGUUAAAUGGAGUGGUCAUGGG
This 431-nucleotide long non-coding RNA is filed under the name Cyanistes caeruleus (blue tit). RNAcentral describes it as "lncRNA (ENSCCEG00000008774.1)". Lineage: Eukaryota; Metazoa; Chordata; Aves; Passeriformes; Paridae. The record is from RNAcentral.